Molecule: ribosomal RNA, 459 nt
Filed under: uncultured bacterium
Lineage: Bacteria
Description: partial 16S ribosomal RNA
Rfam family: Bacterial small subunit ribosomal RNA
Source: RNAcentral
CCUACGGGGGGCAGCAGUGAGGAAUAUUGGUCAAUGGCCGGGAGGCUGAACCAGCCAAGUCGCGUGAGGGAAGACGGCCCUACGGGUUGUAAACCUCUUUUGUCAGGGAGCAAGGUGCAGGUCGGGACCUGCUGUGAGAGUACCUGAAGAAAAAGCAUCGGCUAACUCCGUGCCAGCAGCCGCGGUAAUACGGAGGAUGCGAGCGUUAUCCGGAUUUAUUGGGUUUAAAGGGUGCGCAGGCGGCGGCACAAGUAAGCGGUAAAAUCGCGGGGCUCAACCCCGCCCCGCCGUUGAAACUGUGUGCCUUGAGUGCGCGAAGGGUAGGCGGAAUGCGUGGUGUAGCGGUGAAAUGCAUAGAGAUCACGCAGAACUCCGAUCGCGAAGGCAGCCUACCGGCGCGCAACUGACGCUCAUGCACGAAAGCGUGGGUAUCGAACAGGAUUAGAUACCCCGGUAGUC